GAUGAAGAACGUAGCGAAAUGCGAUACGUAAUGUGAAUUGCAGAAUUCAGUGAAUCAUCGAGUCUUUGAACGCACAUUGCGCCCUCUGGUAUUCCGGAGGGCAUGCCUGUCCGAGCGUCAUUGCUGCCCUCAAGCACGGCUUGUGUGUUGGGCCCCGCCCCCCGAUCCCGGGGGGUGGGCCCGAAAGGCAGCGGCGGCACCGCGUCCGGUCCUCGAGCGUAUGGGGCUUUGUCACCCGCUCUGUAGGCCCGGCCGGCGCCUGCCGAUCAACCAAACUUUUUUCCAGGUUGACCUCGGAUCAGGUAGGGAUACCCGCUGAACUUAAGCAUAUCAAUAAGCGGAGGA
This 345-nucleotide unclassified non-coding RNA is filed under the name soil metagenome. RNAcentral's name for it is "partial contains 5.8S ribosomal RNA, internal transcribed spacer 2, and large subunit ribosomal RNA". The stretch from base 1 to 120 matches the Rfam family "5.8S ribosomal RNA", at positions 35 to 154 of the family's 154-position model. The record is from RNAcentral.